RNAcentral lists this ribosomal RNA (436 nucleotides) under uncultured Acidimicrobiales bacterium. RNAcentral describes it as "bacterial SSU rRNA". It matches the Rfam family "Bacterial small subunit ribosomal RNA", at positions 341 to 792 of the family's 1533-position model. Lineage: Bacteria; Bacillati; Actinomycetota; Acidimicrobiia; Acidimicrobiales. The record is from RNAcentral.
ACGGGAGGCAGCAGUGGGGAAUCUUGCGCAAUGGGCGAAAGCCUGACGCAGCAACGCCGCGUGCGGGAUGAAGGCCUUCGGGUUGUAAACCGCUUUCAGUGGGGACGAAUUCAGACGGUACCCACAGAAGAAGCCCCGGCCAACUACGUGCCAGCAGCCGCGGUAACACGUAGGGGGCGAGCGUUGUCCGGAAUCAUUGGGCGUAAAGAGCUCGUAGGCGGCUCAGUAAGUCGGGUGUGAAACCCCCAGGCUCAACCUGGGGACGCCACCCGAUACUGCUGUGGCUAGAGUCCAGUAGGGGAGUGUGGAAUUCCCGGUGUAGCGGUGAAAUGCGCAGAUAUCGGGAGGAACACCAGCGGCGAAGGCGGCACUCUGGGCUGGAACUGACGCUGAGGAGCGAAAGCGUGGGUAGCAAACAGGAUUAGAUACCCUGGUA